This 1372-nucleotide ribosomal RNA is filed under the name uncultured bacterium. RNAcentral describes it as "bacterial SSU rRNA". It matches the Rfam family "Bacterial small subunit ribosomal RNA", at positions 28 to 1381 of the family's 1533-position model. The record is from RNAcentral.
GAUGAACGCUGGCGGCGUGCCUAAUACAUGCAAGUCGAGCGAACGGACGAGAAGCUUGCUUCUCUGAUGUUAGCGGCGGACGGGUGAGUAACACGUGGAUAACCUACCUAUAAGACUGGGAUAACUUCGGGAAACCGGAGCUAAUACCGGAUAAUAUUUUGAACCGCAUGGUUCAAAAGUGAAAGACGGUCUUGCUGUCACUUAUAGAUGGAUCCGCGCUGCAUUAGCUAGUUGGUAAGGUAACGGCUUACCAAGGCAACGAUGCAUAGCCGACCUGAGAGGGUGAUCGGCCACACUGGAACUGAGACACGGUCCAGACUCCUACGGGAGGCAGCAGUAGGGAAUCUUCCGCAAUGGGCGAAAGCCUGACGGAGCAACGCCGCGUGAGUGAUGAAGGUCUUCGGAUCGUAAAACUCUGUUAUUAGGGAAGAACAUAUGUGUAAGUAACUGUGCACAUCUUGACGGUACCUAAUCAGAAAGCCGCGGCUAACUACGUGCCAGCAGCCGCGGUAAUACGUAGGUGGCAAGCGUUAUCCGGAAUUAUUGAGCGUAAAGCGCGCGUAGGCGGUUUUUUAAGUCUGAUGUGAAAGCCCACGGCUCAACCGUGGAGGGUCAUUGGAAACUGGAAAACUUGAGUGCAGAAGAGGAAAGUGGAAUUCCAUGUGUAGCGGUGAAAUGCGCAGAGAUAUGGAGGAACACCAGUGGCGAAGGCGACUUUCUGGUCUGUAACUGACGCUGAUGUGCGAAAGCGUGGGGAUCAAACAGGAUUAGAUACCCUGGUAGUCCACGCCGUAAACGAUGAGUGCUAAGUGUUAGGGGGUUUCCGCCCCUUAGUGCUGCAGCUAACGCAUUAAGCACUCCGCCUGGGGAGUACGACCGCAAGGUUGAAACUCAAAGGAAUUGACGGGGACCCGCACAAGCGGUGGAGCAUGUGGUUUAAUUCGAAGCAACGCGAAGAACCUUACCAAAUCUUGACAUCCUUUGACAACUCUAGAGAUAGAGCUUUCCCCUUCGGGGGACAAAGUGACAGGUGGUGCAUGGUUGUCGUCAGCUCGUGUCGUGAGAUGUUGGGUUAAGUCCCGCAACGAGCGCAACCCUUAAGCUUAGUUGCCAUCAUUAAGUUGGGCACUCUAAGUUGACUGCCGGUGACAAACCGGAGGAAGGUGGGGAUGACGUCAAAUCAUCAUGCCCCUUAUGAUUUGGGCUACACACGUGCUACAAUGGACAAUACAAAGGGCAGCGAAACCGCGAGGUCAAGCAAAUCCCAUAAAGUUGUUCUCAGUUCGGAUUGUAGUCUGCAACUCGACUACAUGAAGCUGGAAUCGCUAGUAAUCGUAGAUCAGCAUGCUACGGUGAAUACGUUCCCGGGUCU